AUUCCAACGGGGUAAAGAAGUUCGGUGUAGAAAGCUUGCCAACACUCCGUGGUGUAGUAACAGGAGCAGAAGUCGUACAGUGAUAUACCUUUUGAGCACGCAACGCAGGACGCAUGUGCACAUGGAAUUUGUCGCAUCUGAAACUCUCGGCAUGAACAUGUCUUACCUACAAGGUCGACAGUACACAUUUCUGCACCCGUGCCAACCUCGAAAAUGAGUUCAUCCAAAUUUCGUAUAUCCAAGGUUGCACCGGCCUCAAAAGAUUGUCUCAAUUCCCCCUCCAUUUUUUAUGUCAACGCAAUAUAACAGUUGGUAGAUGCGUUUCUCCACUUGAAGAACCAUUGUUGCAUCAAUAUCGUAAUGUGUUGGACAACAAGGUUAUAGGGAAACUUCAUUGCUGCCUGAUGACUGAAUUCAAUGACUCUACAAUGUUAUUAGUCAUGACGUUGUACCGAUUACCAACAAAAUUUGCUCGUGACCAAGUAGAGGGACCAAGACAUUUCAAGUAAGAUGCGACUGCUGGCCGAAUGGUCCAAAUUUGUCUCAUCAUUUGCUGGAAUUCUGAUUUGCGAUAUGCUAGUGCUGCACUUUUGAAAAUGAAUAUG
Molecule: long non-coding RNA, 605 nt
Filed under: Olea europaea subsp. europaea
Lineage: Eukaryota; Viridiplantae; Streptophyta; Magnoliopsida; Lamiales; Oleaceae
Source: RNAcentral